GUUUAGGAACUCACUUCAGCAUAACAAACACUAAAAUUAGAAUGGUACAGAGAUUGGUAUGAACCCUGCACAAGGAUGACACACACAUUUGUGUUCUAUAUACUC
RNAcentral lists this small nuclear RNA (105 nucleotides) under Nannospalax galili (Upper Galilee mountains blind mole rat). Lineage: Eukaryota; Metazoa; Chordata; Mammalia; Rodentia; Spalacidae. The record is from RNAcentral.